UACGGAGGGAGCUAGCGUUGUUCGGAUAUACUGGGCGUAAAGCGCGCGUAGGCGGCGCCGUAAGUCAGGGGUGAAAUCCCGGAGCUCAACUCCGGAACUGCCCUUGAAACUGCAGUGCUAGAAUCUUGGAGAGGCGAGUGGAAUUCCGAGUGUAGAGGUGAAAUUCGUAGAUAUUCGGAAGAACACCAGUGGCGAAGGCGACUCGCUGGACAAUUAUUGACGCUGAGGUGCGAAAGCGUGGGGAGCAAACAGG
Molecule: ribosomal RNA, 253 nt
Filed under: uncultured bacterium
Lineage: Bacteria
Description: partial 16S ribosomal RNA
Rfam family: Bacterial small subunit ribosomal RNA
Source: RNAcentral